AGUAUGUAUUUCUCUGAUACCUUUGGUACAGAAACUACUCUCAGGCUUCAAAGAUUAAAGAAUUAGAGAUCUAUUUGUAAGGUUUUAGAUAAAGGGUAAUCCUAGGAAUCCUUUCUGUUGCCAUCCAGGUAGAUCUCAGAUCAGACAUCAGGAUGAGGUUUUAAGCAGAAAUAAUAGGACUUUCUCCCUAAACAAAAUACAAAAAUUCUACAUCAGUACUUCCAGAGAGUAUAUGCAUUUCUACUUCUAUGACAGGGUAGUUGGUAACAGUUGUAAAAGCUGGACAAAAUAGUGUUAGACAAUAGAUUGUAAGGAUAAGAGAGCAACUAAGGUAGCCAGAGCUUGAGGGGCCAAGAUCUCAGAGUAGGUGCAUGAAGUGAGAGUCUCAUAUUUGCCACUGCUUUUUCCCUUAAAGCAUUGCCCAAUUCGAAUCAUGGGGCAAGGAAAUAUGGAAGAAAGUGGUGGCCUGGUGCUGCGGUGGUCUCACUGGGCUGGAGAGAUGAAACAUCCAGGACUCGAGGAGGCAAGUUCCUAGAGAAAAGGGAACCAAAGAAAACUAUUGUGACAAUAAAUUGUCUGCCAGGAGCUGGGCAGUGCACUGGAAAUUCGAAGGCAAAUAAGACAUGGGCCCUUUCCCAGAGGGCUUCUUUGUCAAGAGGAGCAAACAAGCUUAUAAAUAUAUAAUCAGCACAGCUGUAGUAAGUGGAUUCUACAGUAUGUGUGUCUGAAGAACCCCCAAAGCAGAGCUCCAGGGAAAAUUGACACAUGCCUAAUGUUAGCUCAAGGCAGGUGCCAACUUCCUCCUGCAGAAACAAAAGCAGAUAAGAUAACUUUUAAGGAAAAUAACAGAAAAUAACCUUCUCUUUGCUUCCUUGUAUUGACUCAUAGAUUGGAAGUUGAGAAAAAGAUUUUAAAGCUAAGAAUUAUUGAAUACUGGAUAUAUCAGGCAAUCAGAUAAAAUGGAGAGUCUUAAUGAGAAAUGUGCAUGCUUGUGACCAAAAGCUAAGCCUUCGCCCUCCCUUCCUGUUCCCAGGAAACCAGACUGUCUGUAGUACACAUGCUCUUUCACUUGUUUCCCACAACUCAGUCUGUCCCAUACCCUCUCCAGCAGUUAUUUU
This is a non-coding RNA of Vicugna pacos (alpaca), 1118 nucleotides long. The record is from RefSeq and is a predicted model, not a curated record. Lineage: Eukaryota; Metazoa; Chordata; Mammalia; Artiodactyla; Camelidae.